This 942-nucleotide long non-coding RNA is filed under the name Homo sapiens (human). RNAcentral describes it as "HSALNT0333318". The record is from RNAcentral. Lineage: Eukaryota; Metazoa; Chordata; Mammalia; Primates; Hominidae.
UUUUUAGGGUCAGUUUCAGGUCCAGCGAUCUGAUUUUGAAGAAUUAUCGGGGUGUGAAAUCAACUCUCUCAUCAGCUGAGAACGGAGGCUACAGGGAGGCGCCGUUAUCUCUCAGAAAAGAUGCAGCACAAACAACCUGCCAGCCCCCGCGUGAAUUCGUUAACGGAAACACUGGUUGUGACCUGCAGUGAACUUUGGAAACGAAUUUAAAACUCACCUUGAUCAGAGUUCCUUAAUGAGGAGUUGGGAGAGGAAGGAUCCUCAUUAUUCCCUCUUCGCUACCUCCUCUCUACAACCCCAUUCCAAAGCGACUGACCUUCAACAGAAUGUAUUUCUAUAAAGAUAAAAACAACGAAACUCCCAAGACGUCUAUAUUUGGAAUAUACAGGGAAAACUAGGAAUUUAAUAGCUGAGUUCACGUCCUGCCAACAAAACUUAGAAGGAAUCAACAAACUUCAAGUUCAGGCGCAUAUGUGGUACCCUGUGGCCUAGCGAGAAGAUCGCAGAUGACAUGGGAGGCCUUCAUCUUCUGCAUCUGUCCGACCUUUUCAGCUCCUCUUCUGGUCACUCUGUCAAGGGGGCCUGGAACUCCUGAGAAGUGAAAGGACCAGCCCUAUCUCAGAUGGUGCGGGUUUCUUCGCCCUGACCUCUGCCAUGUUUGCUUGGAGCCCCAGAGCUCAUCCUUCAAGGCCUUUUUAAAAAUAGCACAGCCUCUGUCAAGCCUUCUUGAAAAAUUAAAUUUUUUAUUGUAAAAACUUUCAAACAUAUAAAGAAUGUGAAAGAAUAGGCAAUUAUCUGUAUACUCAUCACCCACAUUCAAUAAUUAACAUUUUGCCGUCUUAGCCUCAUCUACCUAUUUCUACUGAAUCAUAUGAAACUCACUUGCAGACAUUGUGAUAUAGAACACCAAAAUCCAUAAACAUGUGUCGCCUAAACAUGCGU